AUUUGCUCAGUGUGUCACUCAUUUUCCGACAUCAUUUUGGCUGGCUGGAUUCCAUCGCUUCCACGGGCAGUCUGCAUGUGUCUCCCCCCUCAUUUCUUUGUGACAAGCUCUCCAGCUCUGCUUCGGUCCUUCCACCCCCAGGAUAAAAAUGACUGAGACACCCCGUCACCAGAUUGCCGGCACUUUCCGCCUCCACCCCCACCAGCUUUAUCGAGAUAUAAUUGACAUAUAACCCUGGGUAAGUUUAAGGUGUUGGUCUGCCACACGUAUGUUGCCAAAUGAUUACCGCGAGGACGUGAGCUACCACCAUUCUGUCACAUAAUUACUUUGUGUGUGUGUGUGUGCGUGUGUGUGUGUGGUGAGAACAUUUGAGAUCUACUCUCAUAGCAAUUUUCUGACAGGCAUGGCACCAGGGCCACUACUCACUGACAUAUCCCAUCCAAACCCAACUGCCAACUUCCCUCAACCCUCCUAAGAAUCACUCAGCACAAGUCCGAAACCUAUAAGAAGAACCUCUUCACAAGCCGUCCUGUGGGUACCACCCCCCCCCCCCCCGCCCCGUGUGCUCUCUCCCUUUGCUACAACAAGCUAAAUACACCUAACUUUGACCACAGGUACAGUCCUGGUGGUCUUUGGUUGGUGAGGCUCGACAUCCUGUAAGACUAAGUCACUUCUGCUGUCAUCAUAAGCAGCUGAUGUACAGUUUCAAAUAUUUUUAGGUAUCAGCAAGGGAUAAUUACCGGUAAUCAACCUGCUAGUAAUUUGGCAUGUUGUAAGAGUGUCCUGAGGAUGUGAAGCUGAUGUUCUCCGAAAUGUGGCUCAGGCAGCUGGUAAAUGCAGAGUUCCGCCCUCGUACGCAGCAGAGGCAGACUUCCCCGUCUGCGUAUCAUCAAUAUUGGAAGUGACUAACAGGAAAGUGUUCAGAGUUGGCUUGGCUGCCUGGAGGCCAGGGGAAGCCUCAGCUCUCCUGGACCCCUUUGAGCCUCCGGUUGGUUAGCCCCGAUUUUUUUCUCACUUCCUCUCUAGCCUAGCGGCCAAAGCAAGUCCCAGGACCAGCCCUGUAUUCACAGUGGGUGGAAGCUACAAAGUCCUAGGACAACAGGCGUGGAUACAGGGUGGCCAUUAAUUGAAGCCAUUGACACUAUUGUUUAACAUCUCUGUGUCUUGUCUGCAGAAUGGAGAAAACAAAACCUACCUCACAGAGUUUUCUUGCGAAAAAAAUAUAGAAAAUAAAUAUAAUGUGUAAAAUAAUCUACAUGUAUAUCAUAUAUAUGUAUAUGAUAUAUAAAAAUGUAUAAUAUAUAUGUAUAUAAAUAUAUGAAAUUUAUCUAAAAGGAGUUAACAUAUUGAAAAUGUUGGGGUAAGUGUCUGGCCCGGUGGGUACUAUACAAACAUUUUUUAUUGUUGUCUUGAGUUGAUUGUAGUUUCAUAUUAAGGGUCUCUCGUUUUAUACAUUUUUCUUGGUUUUAUUCAAUCAUCUAUUUUUUGUGGUUGCCUGGUUAACCCUACAGUCAACAGGGGUGCCUAUUUUCAUCAAUAGUAUUUUUGGCCUACUGUUUUCCACAAUCAGAGCUUACGACGUAUAUGCAUUUGGGCUCAUGUGAAACCAUCCAGUUUCCUAUUGCGAAAGUAGAUAUAUUGUAAUUUCCCUGGAAUUUUCUUGAUCAGUCUCACAUUAUUAGAUGUGCUUCCCCUGAACUUGUGUUAUUUGACUAACUUCCAAACAAAAUCUCAAUGUAUGUGUAAUAAAAUCAUUGGGUUAUUUUUAAGUGCCUAGAGCAUAGUUUCAUAAUAUAAAAUCUGAUAUAAGCUUAAAUUGCAACUUUGAGGGUUUUUUCCCUCUCCAAUCCUUGGUAGAGUUCUCUUCUCCACUGACAACUGGGAUCGGGAGGGAGAGAUUGUCCGAGGGGUCUGUGAAAGGCAUCCCUUGGGAUUGCACAGUACACAACCUGUGCGAUCAAACACAGUGUCUCUGGGACUGUCCCCCCAGUGGACAUGAGCUUUGGUCAAAAAAGUUGAAGAAACACCCGUAAAGAGCCACUUCUAGUGUAAUUCUCACUGUGCUGUUUUCCUGAGUCCAUUUCACUGGUUUGUCUCUGUUGUUUUUCAUAAAUCGAGGCAAAUGCUGUUAACACAGGCUUUUUAGGGUAAGCCAGCAUCGUACAGAGACCAAAACGCCUUUUAGAUAGUUGCCUCUCAGUGUUGACUUGAUUACGUUUCACAGAGCUUGGCCAGCUCCAGCCAGCUUUCUUACAGGGAUCUUCACAACCUACAGGGUUAUCAAGAGACACGUCAGACUUUGAAUGGCAUGGUCAAGGUCAAGGUCAGGCAGUAGUGUGUCAUAGCACUCCCAUGCAGCCCAGCCCCUGACUCCAGGCCUACACAAUGCCCACCACACUGUAUCCUCUCUUUUUUAAAAACUGAAAAAAAGGGAAGAAACAAAGAAAGCAGAGCACUGAGAUCAACAACAGGUUCUUUCUAAAGACAAAAGCACCAUCUGGGGACAGAUGGGAUGUAAAUAUUAAACCUCCCCCCCAAAAACACUCAGAGUUACUGUCUGGUAAGAAACAGGCUUUUAAAUUGGUUUUCAAAUAGAGAGAGUGUUUUUAUUCAUCCUUAUAUAACUGUAAAAAUGACUGAACACUUUGGACUAUACAUUUUUUCAAUCUUUCCCAAAUGAAAUCACCUUUGGUAGAGAACCAAGCAUGGAAAAUUUCAGCUCAAAAAAAAAAAAAAAAUGACUCUGUAAAAUCAUGGAGCAAUUUAGAAAAAGUGGUGGAAAGAAAACAUGUGUUUAGCCAGAGAUAGUAACACUGGUUGGUCCGAAGUGGUUGAGAAUGGAUGCUUCUGAAUAAACAAAUUUCUAUACAACCGAAGCAUAAUCUGUUAUUGUUUUGCAUGGAAAUUCAUCAAUUUCUUUUCCAUUGUUAGCUGUUGAAAAUAAGGCAGUGCCAAUAUUUUUAAAAAGAAUCGUUAAACAAAUUUGGGGCCACAGUUUCAUGUUUAAUAUCUUUGUCAUACAAAUGGAAAAGAAAUACGGGUGGUAGGAUUCCAGAGGUUUGGAAUGUUUAAAAAAAAAAUCUUUCAAUAAAUAUGACAGAAAUGUUUAGGUCUACUUUAUGCUUCCUAAAAUAACUAGCCAAAAUUUUAAAAAUAGAAUGUCUUCUCAGAAAAAAAUAGAAAGUACUGAUAAAAAGGAAGAAAAUAAAAACCACCUAUGGCCAGUGACCGGAGAUAGCCAAUGUUACCGUUUGUUUUUAUCCUUAGCAUUUGUGUGUGUGUACAAAUUUAACUUUAGGUCUUCUUGCAAACAUGGGGUUAAACUUCACAAAUUAUUUCAUAACUUUCUUUACACUUAAUAACGUAUUGUGUAAUAUAAGACUUUAGCAUUGUUUUCAAAUAAAUCCAAGUCCCAAAACUGUGUAUUUUCCCCUAUAACUGUGGAUAUCACUUUUUAAUGCUCUUUGAUCAGUUCAUUUGAUCAUUUUAUUUUGCUACAUUGACUAUCUAUCAUUCUACCAGGAAUAAAUCAUUUAAAUUACUAAUUUUUUUUAAGUUUAUUCAUUUACUUUGAGAGAGCAAGUGAGUG
Molecule: long non-coding RNA, 3589 nt
Organism: Felis catus (domestic cat)
Lineage: Eukaryota; Metazoa; Chordata; Mammalia; Carnivora; Felidae
Exons: 3
Source: RefSeq, a predicted model, not a curated record